GACGAACGCUGGCGGCGUGCUUAACACAUGCAAGUCGAGCGGUAAGGCUCCUUCGGGAGUACACGAGCGGCGAACGGGUGAGUAACACGUGAGCAAUCUGCCCUUCACUUCGGGAUAACUCCGGGAAACCGGUGCUAAUACCGAAUACGACCACUUCAGGCAUCUGAUGGUGGUGGAAAGUUCCGGCGGUGAAGGAUGAGCUCGCGGCCUAUCAGCUUGUUGGUGAGGUAANGGCCCACCAAGGCAACGACGGGUAGCCGGCCUGAGAGGGUGACCGGCCACACUGGGACUGAGGCACGGCCCAGACUCCUACGGGAGGCAGCAGUGGGGAAUAUUGGACAAUGGGCGAAAGCCUGAUCCAGCAACGCCGCGUGAGGGAUGACGGCCU
RNAcentral lists this ribosomal RNA (388 nucleotides) under uncultured bacterium. Its description in RNAcentral is "bacterial SSU rRNA". It matches the Rfam family "Bacterial small subunit ribosomal RNA", at positions 28 to 417 of the family's 1533-position model. The record is from RNAcentral.